GGUGGCUCAGUGGUAGAGCACAGGCCUUGUAUGCCUGAGGCCCUGGGUUCGAUUCCUCAGCACCA
This 65-nucleotide transfer RNA is filed under the name Dipodomys ordii (Ord's kangaroo rat). It matches the Rfam family "tRNA". From Rfam's summary of the family: Transfer RNA (tRNA) molecules are approximately 80 nucleotides in length. The record is from Rfam by way of RNAcentral. Lineage: Eukaryota; Metazoa; Chordata; Mammalia; Rodentia; Heteromyidae.